AUGAAUAUACUAUUUGACCUAACAAAUCAUCAUUUCAUCCAAAGAGUCACAUAUUACUCUUCAAUCUUUUUGUCUUCUUCCUCCCUUUAUCAAAUUUUUUUGUUACUCUUCUUGUUUUACUUGAUCUCAAUUUUUUAUAACUAUUUCUUCCUCCCUUAAUCGGAACCUGACUUUGUUAUUAGUUAUUGGGAAAAAUACAAAAAUAUAAACAAAUUCCUACACAAGCGGAAGCAUACUCAUAAAAAAGAAACAAAAAAUUAAAAAAAAAAAAC
RNAcentral lists this long non-coding RNA (272 nucleotides) under Lathyrus oleraceus (garden pea). RNAcentral describes it as "Pisum sativum (pea) long non-coding RNA (PSAT_LNC024377)". The record is from RNAcentral. Lineage: Eukaryota; Viridiplantae; Streptophyta; Magnoliopsida; Fabales; Fabaceae.